RNAcentral lists this ribosomal RNA (463 nucleotides) under uncultured bacterium. RNAcentral describes it as "partial 16S ribosomal RNA". It matches the Rfam family "Bacterial small subunit ribosomal RNA", at positions 28 to 507 of the family's 1533-position model. The record is from RNAcentral.
GAUGAACGCUGACAGAAUGCUUAACACAUGCAAGUCUUUGGCGAAGCUGUGCUUGCAUCGCCUAGCCAAGGCGGACGGGUGAGUAACACGUAAGGAACUUGCCCUGCAGUCAGGGAUAACAGACGGAAACGACUGAUAAGACCUGGUAAAGUCAGGCGGACUCAUGUCCAGCCUGAUGAAAAGAGAUGCUGCAGGAGAGCCUUGCGUCCUAUUAGCUUGUUGGUGGGGUAACGGCCCACCAAGGCGAUGAUAGGUAGCCGGCCUGAGAGGGUGGACGGCCACAAGGGGACUGAGAUACGGCCCUUACUCCUACGGGAGGCAGCAGUGGGGAAUAUUGGACAAGGGGGGCAACCCUGAUCCAGCAAUUCUGUGUGCACGAUGAAGGUUUUCGGAUUGUAAAGUGCUUUCAGCAGGGAAGAAAAAAAUGACGGUACCUGCAGAAGAAGCGACGGCUAAAUACGUG